GAUGAACGCUAGCGGGAGGCCUAACACAUGCAAGCCGAGCGGUAGAGUUUCUUCGGAAACUUGAGAGCGGCGCACGGGUGCGUAACACGUGUGCAACCUACCUUUAUCUGGGGGAUAGCCUUUCGAAAGGAAGAUUAAUACCCCAUAAUAUAAUGAUUGGCAUCAAUUAUUAUUGAAAACUCCGGCGGAUAGAGAUGGGCACGCGCAAGAUUAGAUAGUUGGUGAGGUAACGGCUCACCAAGUCAAUGAUCUUUAGGGGUCCUGAGAGGGAGAUCCCCCACACUGGUACUGAGACACGGACCAGACUCCUACGGGAGGCAGCAGUGAGGAAUAUUGGACAAUGGGUGAGAGCCUGAUCCAGCCAUCCCGCGUGAAGGAUGACGGUCCUAUGGAUUGUAAACUUCUUUUGUACAGGGAUAAACCUACCCUCGUGAGGGUAGCUGAAGGUACUGUACGAAUAAGCACCGGCUAACUCCGUG
RNAcentral lists this ribosomal RNA (479 nucleotides) under uncultured bacterium. RNAcentral's name for it is "partial 16S ribosomal RNA". It matches the Rfam family "Bacterial small subunit ribosomal RNA", at positions 28 to 507 of the family's 1533-position model. The record is from RNAcentral.